RNAcentral lists this ribosomal RNA (589 nucleotides) under uncultured bacterium. Its description in RNAcentral is "bacterial SSU rRNA". It matches the Rfam family "Bacterial small subunit ribosomal RNA", at positions 336 to 916 of the family's 1533-position model. The record is from RNAcentral.
CUCCUACGGGAGGCAGCAGUAGGGAAUCUUCCGCAAUGGACGAAAGUCUGACGGAGCAACGCCGCGUGAGUGAUGAAGGUUUUCGGAUCGUAAAACUCUGUUGUUAGGGAAGAACAAGUACCAGAGUAACUGCUGGUACCUUGACGGUACCUAACCAGAAAGCCACGGCUAACUACGUGCCAGCAGCCGCGGUAAUACGUAGGUGGCAAGCGUUGUCCGGAAUUAUUGGGCGUAAAGCGCGCGCAGGCGGUCCUUUAAGUCUGAUGUGAAAGCCCACGGCUCAACCGUGGAGGGUCAUUGGAAACUGGGGGACUUGAGUACAGAAGAGAAGAGUGGAAUUCCACGUGUAGCGGUGAAAUGCGUAGAGAUGUGGAGGAACACCAGUGGCGAAGGCGACUCUUUGGUCUGUAACUGACGCUGAGGCGCGAAAGCGUGGGGAGCAAACAGGAUUAGAUACCCUGGUAGUCCACGCUGUAAACGAUGAGUGCUAAGUGUUAGAGGGUUUCCGCCCUUUAGUGCUGCAGCUAACGCAUUAAGCACUCCGCCUGGGGAGUACGGCCGCAAGGCUGAAACUCAAAGGAAUUGACGG